This 225-nucleotide long non-coding RNA is filed under the name Phoenix dactylifera (date palm). RNAcentral describes it as "long non-coding RNA (PDAC_LNC005515)". Lineage: Eukaryota; Viridiplantae; Streptophyta; Magnoliopsida; Arecales; Arecaceae. The record is from RNAcentral.
CCAUAUGGCUAGAGACCAUGUAUGUGUGCAGUCAAACUACAAUAACCUCACUGUGAGUAGCCGAAGCACCGCAGGUCAAAGGACCAGUUACACUACUGCAACAUCAAGCAAGUCACUGACGAGUGGAUAGACAUCCAAGUGACUUCUUGUCUUGGUCACGCUCAGUACCCUUGUUCUCUAACAAGCACCUGCAUUAUCACUUCAGUGUCCCUACACUGUGGACUC